RNAcentral lists this ribosomal RNA (404 nucleotides) under uncultured bacterium. Its description in RNAcentral is "partial 16S ribosomal RNA". It matches the Rfam family "Bacterial small subunit ribosomal RNA", at positions 30 to 526 of the family's 1533-position model. The record is from RNAcentral.
AUUGAACGCUGGCGGCAGGCCUAACACAUGCAAGUCGAGCGAGCGGCGGACGGGUGAGUACUGCCUGGGAAUUGCCCAGUCGAGGGGGAUAACAGUUGGAAACGACUGCUAAUACCGCAUACGAUUGGAUUGCCCAGGUGGGAUUAGCUAGUUGGUGAGGUAAUGACUCACCAAGGCGACGAGCCCUACCUGGUCUGAGAGGAUGAUCAGCCACACUGGAACUGAGACACGGUCAAGACUCCUAAGGGAGGCAGCAGUGGGGAAUAUUGUACAAUGGGUGAAAUCCUGAUGAAGCCAUGCCGCGUGUGUGAAGAAGGCGUUCGGGUUGUAAAGCACUUUCAGCGAGGAGGCGUUACUCGCAGAAGAAGCACCGGCUAACGCCGUGCGAGCAGCCGCGGUAAUUC